AUGUAAAAAAAUAAACGAUAUCGUUUACCUUUUUAAAUGUGGCCACACUUUGCUUUGACCUGUCAAUGUCAUGUCAUACGUCAAAGGUGGGAAGUGAGGUUAUGUAGAUUGCAAUGCCGCUUUAAAUAAUCGCCGUUAUAAUUGUUAUUUGUUAUUGAGAAAGGAGUGACUAAAGCAGGAAUAAACUUUAAAUGUCGUUUCUUUGUUUACAGAGCAACGCAUGAAGUUAUUCUUCCUUCCAGUUCAUAUCCACAAAAGUGAAAUCAUCUUAUAAAACGACAUUUCUAGUUACGAGUUUCAAAGAAAGAUGACGAAGCUUCGUUUUGAAUUCACAAUACUACCUGGAAGUGACGAAAAAACAAAUGUCUGUUGUAUAACCUCAAUAACCACCGAGGACAACAAGAGUUAUGCAUUACCGGACGGACUCCAGUCAGUUGGUCAUCACAAAGAAUUGAUAAAAACAGCGGCAUAUAGUAAAGUAAAGAAUAGUUUAUCAAAAAGGUACCAGAUAAGGAGAAUUUGGAUCUCGCUAACCGAGGACCUAGAGCAAAUUUAUAUGGAUGAGGACGGCAAUGUGCAGUUUGCGGACAGAUACCUGGAAGAAUUGAAUCAGGACCAAUGUGCUUCUAAUGCACCCACUGCUGCCGGCACAAAAGGGACCAAUACUUUAGAAAAAUUGUUAGAAAAGUUAAUAGAAAGUACACAGGAAAGUAAACAACACAGCUUGAAGAAUAUGGCAGAUAAGUUUGUAAUCGAGAAGUUUACUAGUAAACAUUCGAAUGCGGCUCAAUGGAUGGACAUUUUUGAAAAGGAAUGUGAGCGUUACCAGAUAUCGGAUGGGAAAAAGAUUGAAGUUCUUAGGCUCUUUAUGGAUAAAAGUUGUGCAGAUUGGUACAGUUCCAUGGUUGUAAAACUGACUAUGAAUGCAGAAUGGUCUGAGUGGAGGAAAAAAUUUUGUGAAUCAUUUGUCAACAAAGGGUGGAGCCCAGUUACAUAUGCAUUACUGUAUAAAUAUAAGGAUGGCUCACUGUUGGAUUAUGCUAUAAGAAAGGAAAAGCUUUUACUCGAUAUGAGGAAGUCAAUUGAUUCUGGUACAUUGGUGGACCUUAUCGCAAUGGGUUUGCCGGAGUACAUAUUAAACAAGAUUGAUAGAGAAGCGUUGAAGGACACAGUUGAGUUGUUCAAUGAAGUAAGCAAGUAUGAGCAUAUGGUUACCAAAAAAAGCUACUUAUUUAAGAAGAAGUAUGGACCCUCAAGAACAAAUUUCAAGAAUGAGGAUCUAAAGCCAUGCAAAAUUUGUGAAGGGUUAAACAAAGGCACCCGCUAUCACGCUGAGACUGCAUGUUGGUUUCGUACAAAAGAAGAUGACAAAGUGAAGAGAAACUUCAUUAAACAUGUUAAUAAUGCAUUGAUAGAAGCGGAGUUAAAUGAAUCAGUUCCAAAAAACGAAUACUAACACCACUGAUAAAGGUCAACAUACUAAUUAAUGAUAAACAUCUGAUAAAUGCAGUCUAUGACCCAGGCUCAGUUGUUUCCAUUAUAAAUUCUAAGCUCUUAAGCCUAAAAGGGAGAGGAAACGAAUUGAAUGAAGAAAAUUUAGUAACAGUUGGUGGUGUUAAAAAAACGGAUGGUUUGACCAACCUAAAAAUAAAAAUAUUUAACAAAGAAGAGAAUGUUGAUAUAUCCAUUGUGGAUCAACAAUAUUUCAUGCAUGAUUUUCUGAUUGGCUUGGACCUUAUAAAAAUAUUCCGAUUAACUCAAGAUGAGAAUUUGGAAAUACAUCAGGUACUGGGUACAAACAUAAAAGAUAAUGAGAAAGUGGAAGUUUCAAAUGAAGAAAUAAAUCAUAACCAAUCAAAAGUUCCUGGGAAUGAUAAGAACACAACAAAAGAAUAUUAUGUCAAUUUUAAUGAGCAUAUAAAGGAGGAGGAUUUUAAGAUAAAGAUAGAUCAUUUGAACAAGGAGCAACAGUCUGAAAUAAAUACAUUGAUCAAUAAAUAUAACUCAGUGUUUGCAAGGCAUAAAUAUGAUGUUGGGACUGUCAAUGGGUAUGAAGCCAGAAUAGACUUGUUGGUGGACAAAUAUUGCAGCAAGAGGCCAUAUAGAUGUACCAUGGAGGAUAAAAAAGAGAUAGAAGAGCAAAUUGGAAAGUUACUCGAUAAUAAGUUAAUAGAGGAAUCCUAUAGUCCAUUUGCUGCACCGGUCACAUUAGCAUUUAAAAGAGAGGAGAAUAAAAAAUCAAGAUUAUGUAUCGACUUUAGGGACUUGAAUAAAAUAGUAGUACCACAAGCUCAGCCCUUCCCACUGAUCGAAGACCUUAUGAUGAAGACUAGGAAUUGUACAUUUUUCUCGACACUUGAUAUCAACUCAGCGUUUUGGUCCAUUCCUUUACGGAUUGAGGACAGAAAGAAAACAGGGUUUGUAACCCAGGAUGGACACUUUCAAUGGACCUGCCUGCCUUUUGGAUUGAAGACCUCGCCAGCAAUCUUCCAAAGAAUUUUAAGCAACAUAUUGAGGAAAUAUAAGCUUACGGACUUUGCAGUUAAUUACAUUGAUGAUAUCCUUAUAUUUUCCAGAACGUUCACCGAACACAUUGAACAUUUAACAAAGUUGCUGGAAGCAAUUAGGACGGAGGGCUUCAGAUUAAAAUUCACGAAAUGCACAUUUGCAUCUGACUUAGUAAAAUAUUUGGGUCAUAUAAUACAAAACAAUUCAGUUAAGCCAUUGAAGGAUAACUUGACCUCAAUAAAGAAUUUUCCUAUUCCUAGAACGCAGAAAAAUAUAAGACAGUUCCUAGGGAAAAUAAAUUUUUACCACGAGUAUAUUCCGAAGAGUGCAAUAAUACUAGACCCAUUGCAUAAUUUAUUAAGAAAGAACCAGAAAUUCAUAUGGACCGCUGAAUGCCAAAAUGCAUUUGAAAAGAUAAAGGAUCUCUUAUGUUCUCAACCAGUUUUGGAAAUAUUCGAUGAAAAUUUGCCGAUACAAAUCUAUACAGAUGCUUCAUUAGAAGGCGUCGGUGCGAUUUUAAAACAAAUACAGCCUGAUGGUAAAGAAAAACCCGUAGCCUAUUUUUCAAAGAAACUGAAUCAAGCUCAGAAGAAGAAAAAAGCAAUAUAUUUAGAAUGUUUAGCCAUCAAGGAAGCAGUACGAUAUUGGCAAUACUGGUUGAUAGGUAAAUCAUUUACAGUAUAUUCAGACCACAAACCACUAGAAAACAUGAAUUUGAAAUCUAGAACUGAUGAGGAACUAGGUGAUUUAACUUAUUACCUGUCACAGUAUGACUUUAAAAUAAAAUAUUCUCCGGGAAAGGAAAAUUUAGAAGCCGACUGUUUAAGCAGAAAUCCUGUAUUAGAACCUAAUGAAAAUACUGAGGAACAAUUGAAGAUAGUAAAUUUGAUAAGUCUCAACGACAUUAUAAGGGAUCAGAAGGAAAAUCCAGAAGUACAGAAUAAAAGAGGAAAAUUAAUUGAAAGACACAAUGUAUACUUAAAAA
Molecule: long non-coding RNA, 3493 nt
Organism: Cydia splendana
Lineage: Eukaryota; Metazoa; Arthropoda; Insecta; Lepidoptera; Tortricidae
Exons: 2
Source: RefSeq, a predicted model, not a curated record